Molecule: ribosomal RNA, 575 nt
Filed under: Aspergillus nomiae
Lineage: Eukaryota; Fungi; Ascomycota; Eurotiomycetes; Eurotiales; Aspergillaceae
Also listed under: 1 other name
Description: eukaryotic LSU rRNA
Rfam family: Eukaryotic large subunit ribosomal RNA
Source: RNAcentral
AAAGAAACCAACCGGGAUUGCCUCAGUAACGGCGAGUGAAGCGGCAAGAGCUCAAAUUUGAAAGCUGGCUCCUUCGGGGUCCGCAUUGUAAUUUGCAGAGGAUGCUUCGGGUGCGGCCCCUGUCUAAGUACCCUGGAACGGGUCGUCAGAGAGGGUGAGAAUCCCGUCUGGGAUAGGGUGUCCGCGCCCGUGUGAAGCUCCUUCGACGAGUCGAGUUGUUUGGGAAUGCAGCUCUAAAUGGGUGGUAAAUUUCAUCUAAAGCUAAAUACUGGCCGGAGACCGAUAGCGCACAAGUAGAGUGAUCGAAAGAUGAAAAGCACUUUGAAAAGAGAGUUAAAAAGCACGUGAAAUUGUUGAAAGGGAAGCGCUUGCGACCAGACUCGCCCCCGGGGUUCAGCCGGCAUUCGUGCCGGUGUACUUCCCCGGGGGCGGGCCAGCGUCGGUUUGGGCGGCCGGUCAAAGGCCCCUGGAAUGUAGUACCCUCCGGGGUACCUUAUAGCCAGGGGUGCAAUGCGGCCAGCCUGGACCGAGGAACGCGCUUCGGCACGGACGCUGGCAUAAUGGUCGCAAACGAC